Pseudopipra pipra is the source of this 405-nucleotide long non-coding RNA. RefSeq lists it as uncharacterized. Lineage: Eukaryota; Metazoa; Chordata; Aves; Passeriformes; Pipridae. The transcript is spliced from 2 exons. The record is from RefSeq and is a predicted model, not a curated record.
UCCUCCCAGAUGAAAGGUACCAGCAAAAAAGCUCUUGCUGCCCAUGGAGUGCCGAGGCUGACCCACCAAGUGCACCAGAAAACCAAAGCUUCCAGGCUUUCUUUCCUGUGAAGAAACUGUUUCUUUUGGUUUUUUGAGGCCUGCACUGAAACUGCCAGUUCGAGUCCCAGAAGUCCACCCAGCUGAAGAUUCCUCCCAGACCAAAGGUGCCACACCAGAAAUCUCCUGCUGGCCAUGGAGUUCCCAGGCUGGCCCGCCAAGUGCACCAGAAAGCCAAAGCUUCCAGGCUUUCUGUCCUGCCAAUAAGUAGGGUUUUUUUGUUUUUUUGAGCCCUGCACUGAAACUGCCAGUUCCAGUCCCAGAAGUCCACCCAGAUGAAGAUUCCUCCCAGACCAAAGGUGCCAC